GAUGAACGCUGACAGAAUGCUUAACACAUGCAAGUCAACUUGAACUUCGGUUUGGGUGGCGGACGGGUGAGUAACGCGUAAAGAACUUGCCUCACAGUUAGGGACAACAUUUGGAAACGAAUGCUAAUACCUGAUAUUAUGAUUUUAGGGCAUCCUAGGAUUAUGAAAGCUAUAUGCGCUGUGAGAGAGCUUUGCGUCCCAUUAGCUAGUUGGAGAGGUAACAGCUCACCAAGGCGAUGAUGGGUAGCCGGCCUGAGAGGGUGAUCGGCCACAAGGGGACUGAGACACGGCCCUUACUCCUACGGGAGGCAGCAGUGGGGAAUAUUGGACAAUGGACCAAGAGUCUGAUCCAGCAAUUCUGUGUGCACGAUGAAGUUUUUCGGAAUGUAAAGUGCUUUCAGUUGGGAAGAAAAAAAUGACGGUACCAACAGAAGAAGUGACGGCUAAAUACGUGCCAGCAGCCGCGGUAAUACGUAUGUCACAAGCGUUAUCCGGAUUUAUUGGGCGUAAAGCGCGUCUAGGUGGUUAUAUAAGUCUGAUGUGAAAAUGCAGGGCUCAACUCUGUAUUGCGUUGGAAACUGUGUAACUAGAGUACUGGAGAGGUAAGCGGAACUACAAGUGUAGAGGUGAAAUUCGUAGAUAUUUGUAGGAAUGCCGAUGGGGAAGCCAGCUUACUGGACAGAUACUGACGCUGAAGCGCGAAAGCGUGGGUAGCAAACAGG
Molecule: ribosomal RNA, 722 nt
Filed under: uncultured Fusobacterium sp.
Lineage: Bacteria; Fusobacteriati; Fusobacteriota; Fusobacteriia; Fusobacteriales; Fusobacteriaceae
Description: bacterial SSU rRNA
Rfam family: Bacterial small subunit ribosomal RNA
Source: RNAcentral